AUUUUAUUGUGCUGACACUUUCUGACUAUCUCCUUAAAUCUUUCCCAAACUUCAAAAAUAGUUUCUGUCUCCUUCUGGCAGAAAUUGUGGAUUUCCCUUCUGAACUU
RNAcentral lists this small nucleolar RNA (107 nucleotides) under Nicotiana sylvestris (wood tobacco). RNAcentral describes it as "Plant small nucleolar RNA R71". It matches the Rfam family "Plant small nucleolar RNA R71". From Rfam's summary of the family: R71 is a member of the C/D box family of snoRNAs containing the C (UGAUGA) and D (CUGA) box motifs. Multiple nearly identical copies of this snoRNA have been identified in Arabidopsis, and it is thought to function as a 2'-O-ribose methylation guide for 18S ribosomal RNA. RNAcentral also lists the same sequence under 1 other name. The record is from Rfam by way of RNAcentral. Lineage: Eukaryota; Viridiplantae; Streptophyta; Magnoliopsida; Solanales; Solanaceae.